Molecule: ribosomal RNA, 421 nt
Filed under: uncultured bacterium
Lineage: Bacteria
Description: bacterial SSU rRNA
Rfam family: Bacterial small subunit ribosomal RNA
Source: RNAcentral
UAAGGAAUAUUGGACAAUAGAGGCAACCCUGAUCCAGCCAUGCCGCGUGAAGGAAUAAGGCCCUAUGGGUUGUAAACUUCUUUUAGACGGGACAAAACCCCUUUACGUGUAAAGGGUUGAUGGUACUGUCAGAAUAAGCAUCGGCUAACUUCGUGCCAGCAGCCGCGGUAAUACGAAGGAUGCAAGCGUUAUCCGGAAUUAUUGGGUUUAAAGGGUGCGUAGGCGGACUAAUAAGUCAGUGGUGAAAUCUCCGAGCUUAACUUGGAAACUGCCGUUGAUACUAUAGGUCUUGAAUUAUCUGGAGGUAAGCGGAAUAUGUCAUGUAGCGGUGAAAUGCUUAGAUAUGACAUAGAACACCAAUUGCGAAGGCAGCUUACUACAUAUAAAUUGACGCUGAGGCACGAAAGCGUGGGGAUCAAAC